Molecule: ribosomal RNA, 587 nt
Filed under: uncultured bacterium
Lineage: Bacteria
Description: bacterial SSU rRNA
Rfam family: Bacterial small subunit ribosomal RNA
Source: RNAcentral
CCUACGGGAGGCAGCAGUGGGGAAUAUUGGACAAUGGGGGCAACCCUGAUCCAGCCAUGCCGCGUGUGUGGAGAAGGCCCUCGGGUUGUAAAGCACUUUCAGCGAGGAAGAACGCCUAGCGGUUAAUACCCGCUAGGAAAGACAUCACUCGCAGAAGAAGCACCGGCUAACUCCGUGCCAGCAGCCGCGGUAAUACGGAGGGUGCAAGCGUUAAUCGGAAUUACUGGGCGUAAAGCGCGCGUAGGUGGCUUGAUAAGCCGGUUGUGAAAGCCCCGGGCUCAACCUGGGAACGGCAUCCGGAACUGUCAAGCUAGAGUGCAGGAGAGGAAGGUAGAAUUCCCGGUGUAGCGGUGAAAUGCGUAGAGAUCGGGAGGAAUACCAGUGGCGAAGGCGGCCUUCUGGACUGACACUGACACUGAGGUGCGAAAGCGUGGGUAGCAAACAGGAUUAGAUACCCUGGUAGUCCACGCCGUAAACGAUGUCGACCAGCCGUUGGGUGCCUAGCGCACUUUGUGGCGAAGUUAACGCGAUAAGUCGACCGCCUGGGGAGUACGGCCGCAAGGUUAAAACUCAAAUGAAUUGACGGA